AUAAAAGGUACGCCGGGGAUAACAGGCUGAUGAUUCCCAAGAGCUCAUAUCGACGGAAUCGUUUGGCACCUCGAUGUCGGCUCAUCACAUCCUGGGGCUGAAGCCGGUCCCAAGGGUAUGGCUGUUCGCCAUUUAAAGCGGUACGUGAGUUGGGUUCAGAACGUCGCGAGACAGUUCGGUCCCUAUCUGCCGUGGGUGUAGGA
Molecule: ribosomal RNA, 203 nt
Filed under: Durinskia baltica
Lineage: Eukaryota; Dinophyceae; Peridiniales; Kryptoperidiniaceae
Description: partial Bacterial large subunit ribosomal RNA
Rfam family: Bacterial large subunit ribosomal RNA
Source: RNAcentral